AUACUUACCUGGAAGGGGAGAUACCAUGAUCACGAAGGUGGUUUUUCUCAGGGCGAAGCUUAUCCAUUGCGUUCCGGAUGUGCUGACCCCUGCGAUUUCCCCAAGUGUGGGAAACUCGAGUGCAUAAUUUGUGAUAGUAGGGAACUACGUUCGCGCUUUCUCUUGGUGCUUCUGUGGUGCGAAUAGUAGGUGAGCCGUAAGUGUUUUUGUAAUUCAGGGUGCGGGCUCGUGUUUUGUGGCUGUGUUCUGUCCGGUCAGUUGUUUCCGUUCGCAACGGUUAGUUUUCCUUUGUGAGGCCAUGUUUGGGGACAGCUUAGAACUAUCCACUUGCUCUCUUGGGAGGCGAA
This 347-nucleotide long non-coding RNA is filed under the name Homo sapiens (human). Its description in RNAcentral is "novel transcript". The stretch from base 1 to 165 matches the Rfam family "U1 spliceosomal RNA". Lineage: Eukaryota; Metazoa; Chordata; Mammalia; Primates; Hominidae. The record is from RNAcentral.